GAGGUUAUAGCUCAAGUGGUAGAGCACGUGCUUAGCAUGCAUGAGGUCCUGGGUUCAAUCCCCAGCACCUCC
RNAcentral lists this transfer RNA (72 nucleotides) under Camelus bactrianus (Bactrian camel). It matches the Rfam family "tRNA". Rfam says of the family: Transfer RNA (tRNA) molecules are approximately 80 nucleotides in length. Their secondary structure includes four short double-helical elements and three loops (D, anti-codon, and T loops). Further hydrogen bonds mediate the characteristic L-shaped molecular structure. tRNAs have two regions of fundamental functional importance: the anti-codon, which is responsible for specific mRNA codon recognition, and the 3' end, to which the tRNAs corresponding amino acid is attached (by aminoacyl-tRNA synthetases). tRNAs cope with the degeneracy of the genetic code in two manners: having more than one tRNA (with a specific anti-codon) for a particular amino acid; and 'wobble' base-pairing, i.e. permitting non-standard base-pairing at the 3rd anti-codon position. Lineage: Eukaryota; Metazoa; Chordata; Mammalia; Artiodactyla; Camelidae. The record is from Rfam by way of RNAcentral. RNAcentral also lists the same sequence under 2 other names.